GAUAACCCCGGGAAACUGGGUAUAAUACCCGAUAGGUCUCGAUUGCUGGAAUGCAUCGAGAUUUAAAGCUCCGGCGCCUAAGGAUGGGUCUGCGGCCUAUCAGGUAGUAGUGGGUGUAGCGUACCUACUAGCCUACGACGGGUACGGGUUGUGAGAGCAAGAGCCCGGAGAUGGAUUCUGAGACACGAAUCCAGGCCCUACGGGGUGCAGCAGGCGCGAAAACUUUACAAUGCUGGCAACAGCGAUAAGGGAACCUCGAGUGCCAGGUUACAAAUCUGGCUGUCGAGAUGCCUAAAAAGCAUUUCAUAGCAAGGGCCGGGCAAGACCGGUGCCAGCCGCCGCGGUAACACCGGCGGCUCGAGUGGUAACCGUUAUUAUUGGGUCUAAAGGGUCUGUAGCCGGCCGGAUAAGUCUCCUGAGAAAUCUGGCAGCUUAACUGUCAGGCUUUCAGGAGAUACUGUCUGGCUCGAGGCCGGGAGAGGUGAGAGGUACUUCAGGGGUAGGGGUGAAAUCUUGUAAUCCUUGAAGGACCACCAGUGGCGAAGGCGUCUCACCAGAACGGACCUGACGGCAAGGGACGAAAGCUAGGGGCACGAACCGGAUUAGAUACCCGGGUAGUCCUAGCCGUAAACGAUACUCGCUAGGUGUCGGCCACGGUGCGACCGUUGUCGGUGCCGUAGGGAAGCCGUGAAGCGAGCCACCUGGGAAGUACGGCCGCAAGGCUGAAACUUAAAGGAAUUGGCGGGGGAGCACCACAACGGGGUGGAGCUUGCGGUUUAAUUGGAUUCAACGCCGGAAAUCUUACCGGGACCGACAGCAAUAUGAAGGCCAGGCUGAAGACUUUGCCGGAUUAGCUGAGAGGUGGCGCAU
RNAcentral lists this ribosomal RNA (870 nucleotides) under uncultured archaeon. Its description in RNAcentral is "bacterial SSU rRNA". It matches the Rfam family "Archaeal small subunit ribosomal RNA", at positions 125 to 995 of the family's 1478-position model. The record is from RNAcentral.